AAACAUUCACAAUCAUCAUCAUCAUCUUCUCCCAAGUAGCUAUCUUUCAUUCUUUGACCACGCAACACCGUCCCCAAUCCGUCAUCCCCUUCCCCUUUCAUUGACCCGAUCCCCCCUUACUACACGGAAUUCCAUGGCUGUCACUCGUCAUCAAAACAGAGUCCCUGUUCACAUAUAAACCCCACCGUCUUCAAUCUUCAUCCAAUCUCGAAAUUCUCCAUUACCCAUCUUCCCCAACACUUCAAAACCAUUUCCCACCAACCUUAUAUACAGAUCAAAGCUCCCCUUCAUCUCCCUUUUUCCUUUCUCAUCAACCUCUGUCACACACAAAAACAGAGUCAACGAAAACAGAGCAUCAUGAAGUGCUUUUGCCUCCGGUUGAUUCUCGUUUCCUUUCUUAUCAUGUUCGUCUCCACAAUGUUUGCUCCCUCGUGUGUAGAAGCGACCCAGACGAUAAGGGGAUUUCCUGGUCCGUCCACAGCGACUACUACACAGUUUUUCCGGCCGGGUGGAUUUGGGGUCGGCGCCGGAGCAAGGAAAGUGCCGGAGUUUAGGUCGGAGAAGCGGCGGGUUCCGACCGGGUCGAACCCAUUGCACAACAAGCGUUGAGGUUUAACCAACAGCUUCUUAAUUAGUAUACUUCCUAAUUUUUCGAUUUGUUUUCUCCAUGGAAAGAAGAAUUUCUCACUGUUUUAUUUAUUUUUUGGUGAGAUCAUAGUGUAUGGGAAUAUAGUAAUAUACUGUAUGAUUUUGUAUGGAUUGUACAAAAUUUCGUGACAUCUAUAAUACUGAUAUACAUACGAUUAUUAUUCGUGAAAUACAUAAAACUAUAGUUCAUGUACAAAUGUAGAAUAUGGAUGUGUUCAUAUGAGUUUAUCGAUCCUCAGAUUGAUUUUAUUCUCCAUGUGAUUCGGAUAAUUAAUGAGGUUAAAUUCC
This 936-nucleotide long non-coding RNA is filed under the name Linum usitatissimum (flax). RNAcentral's name for it is "long non-coding RNA (LUSI_LNC003241)". The record is from RNAcentral. Lineage: Eukaryota; Viridiplantae; Streptophyta; Magnoliopsida; Malpighiales; Linaceae.